UCCGUGGUGACCAGCGGAGGGAUCAUA
Molecule: ribosomal RNA, 27 nt
Filed under: Scedosporium dehoogii
Lineage: Eukaryota; Fungi; Ascomycota; Sordariomycetes; Microascales; Microascaceae
Description: partial 18S ribosomal RNA
Source: RNAcentral